GUCUAUGGCCAUGCUACCCUGAACAUACCCGAUCUCAUCUGAUCUCAGAAGCUAAGCAGGGUCAGGCCUGGUUAGUACUUGGAUGAGAGACCACCUAGGAAGAUAGGUGCUAUAGGCA
Pteropus alecto (black flying fox) is the source of this 118-nucleotide non-coding RNA. The record is from Rfam. Lineage: Eukaryota; Metazoa; Chordata; Mammalia; Chiroptera; Pteropodidae.